CACAAUGUCAGAAAGAUAUUUAUCAGUUUAGAAUUGACUUGUUCUGGCCCUAUAAUAAUUUUCUGAUUUUCCGUUGUUGCAGAGAGAUCAUAAUAGUGUUAGUCUCCACAGGCAGCAGGUUGAACUGGACAUGACUCCGUUAGGCCCUCGAACUAGACCUGGAGGUGUGAGGGGAAAAGGAGAACACCUUGAACAUUCUGCUCUAAACAGACUAACUAUAUUCAGGGUGUGGAGAGAAGAGGAUGGCCAAUGGUUUUGUACCAGUGUUUGAUAUGGCAGCAUGCUUGGUACUGCCUUCCUCUUCUCUGCUCUGUAGAGCUAGGAACAGUGGAUACUAUAGAUGGAAUAGACCAGUCCUUCAAUUUGCUCAACUACCCCUCCCCCUCCACACCUGCAGUGCAGAUAUGGUGUCCGUGUCCUCUCUGUUUAAGUGUACCUGUUUUCGAGAGAGAGAAUGUCUGAAAUAGCAUGUUGUCCACUAGGGGAGUAGGGUGUUAUUUCAGCUUCAGCCCAUAGACCACCUCAUUUGAAGCCAAUGCCUCACCUCUGUAUGAGCUUUAACUCAUUCUCAAUGUUAAAAACCAUGCCCCACGAGCCAGGUCAAGGUAUGGCCAUGUCUAUGACACAAAGAAAUAUAUCCCUUUCAGUUAUUUUGAAGGGGAAACUACCUGAAGAAUAUACAUUUCUCUUUCUCAAGUGUUUUAUCUUUUUAAAGUUUUUUUUUAAUACACCGUUAUGUUUAUUACAGACAGAUGUUUGUAAGAAAAUAAAUCAUGCAUUUUAAUAUUUUGUCAUGCUGCAAUGUGCACCAUUUAUUAAAUUUUUAUUUAAUUAAAAUAAAGAAUACAUUUCUUUCUAUUUUUAAUCUGUAGUUUGGUGGAAUACUUUUGCUAGUUAGAAUUUUUUUAAUAUUGUAUAUUUCCAACAUUGCUUCCUGUUAUCAUGUUAAUAAAGUGUUCAUACAAAUUGAGAAACACCUGACAAACUUUAAACAGAUGUAAAAAUAUAUAAAUGUAUAUUGAAUUGUGUAGGCUACAGUGUGUGGAAAACUUCUGGACCAGGCAUUGUGUAUACUAAUAGUAGCAACAAAAUGUUAUAUUCUUUGUUCCUUAAACUAUUUAAUAAGAUGUUACAGAAUUAA
Molecule: long non-coding RNA, 1141 nt
Organism: Oncorhynchus tshawytscha (Chinook salmon)
Lineage: Eukaryota; Metazoa; Chordata; Actinopteri; Salmoniformes; Salmonidae
Source: Ensembl